This is a non-coding RNA of Gossypium raimondii (Peruvian cotton), 124 nucleotides long. The record is from Rfam. NCBI's taxonomy places the organism in Eukaryota, Viridiplantae, Streptophyta, Magnoliopsida, Malvales, Malvaceae.
UGCUAAAAAAUUCAUCCAUUUGUGUUGUUAGAAACUAGCAUAACUGAUGAAAUAAUCAGAUAGUGACACAUGACAUACGACGUGUACUAAUUUUUAAUAGUAGAGAUGAAUGAUAUUUUUAACA